Molecule: RNA transcript, 2043 nt
Organism: Osmerus eperlanus (European smelt)
Lineage: Eukaryota; Metazoa; Chordata; Actinopteri; Osmeriformes; Osmeridae
Gene: srsf2b
Gene name: serine and arginine rich splicing factor 2b
Exons: 4
Source: RefSeq, a predicted model, not a curated record
UUCUUCAGCGGGAGAGCGACGGAGAGGAGGUGCAGAGGAAAGAAACAACGAAUGCAGGAAGAAUCACAUUUUGCGUAAUAUUUCUUUUUCUUAAUAGGGUUACUCUAAUAAUAACUCGUUUGGAAGUAAUAUGGUACAUAGCGAUCGAUUUGUUUCGUAAGAUUUUUGAGUACAUAUCCCGCAGGGAGAAUUCUUCCUAUUGUGUUUCGAAGCUAAGAUAGCAGAUUAGCCAUUGCUAACGAGAUGAGUUACGGUAGGCCUCCGCCCGAUGUGGAGGGCAUGACUUCCCUGAAAGUGGACAACCUCACAUACCGAACCUCACCUGAGACCCUCCGUCGAGUUUUCGAAAAGUACGGUCGGGUAGGAGACGUGUACAUUCCCCGUGAUCGCUACACGAAGGAAAGCAGGGGGUUCGCCUUUGUGCGCUUCCACGAUAAGAGGGACGCCGAAGAUGCGAUGGACGCCAUGGACGGGGCCUUGCUCGACGGGCGCGAACUGAGAGUCCAGAUGGCUCGUUAUGGACGCCCACCGGAUUCUCAUCAUGGCGGUGGUGGUGGCGGCGGCGGUCGGCGUGGAGGUGCUCCCCGGAGGUACGGGGGUUAUGGUCGCCGAAGCAGGAGCUUUUCCCCUAGCCCGAGGCGCCGUAGACGCAGCCGUUCCAGAAGCAGGAGCCGUUCUCGUUCCCGCAGCCGUUCCCGCUACAGCAGAUCGAGAUCUCGUUCCUACUCCCGCUCCAAGUCCCGUACGCCGCAGAGGAAGAAGACCAAGUCUCCGUCGAGGUCUCGCUCCAGGUCCAAGUCCAAGUCUCGCUCCAGAAGCCGCACUCCUCCAUCCAACAGAGUGUCCCGAUCCCGGUCUAAGACCCCGCCGCCCAAGUCCCCAGGAGACAACGGAGCCGAAACUCCGUAGGCACGAGACGCAAGGCUGCGGAAUCCUGUUUGCAAAAGAGGUGUGUGAGGCAGUGUGGUGAGGAGGAAGUUAGGAGGAGGAGGGGUGUGGAUGUCACCUCGGUUCGGGGGCUCCGCUGCAGCUGCUGCAGUGUUGCUAUGGAGGGUGUUGCUAUGGAGCAGGCCGGUGGCAGGCAGUAGCAGUGUUGGGGUUGGUGUUGAGAUGAAGACUCCACCACGAGCGACAUGUCGAAGUGACAGGCUUCCUACGGAUGAUCACCGUCCAUGCAAUGAUUUCCUGGUGUCAAAGGUUACUAUUGUAUCUUGUUCUGAAGACCUGUGUCUCUGUGUCUGCUUUCUCAUUUUCCUCCAAAUAGGCUCGACUUUUACUAAUAUGCCGCAGUUUAAAAAAAAAAUUUUCUUUAGAAGGAAUCUUAAGAGGUUCUGAAGUGAUUUUGUUGGGGUGGUUGCUUGUUUGUCUGGCUCAUACUUCUAUCUCCUCCCAGUCUUUAAAACCCAGGCCUAGCACAUGUAACAAUAGCUGUUCUAGCUUUUCAAAACUUAUUGUGGUUUCAUCAGGUCAAAGACCGAACUCUUAAAUGUUUGGUCUAAAACCUGCUCCCCCUACAAAGGCAAGCAUCCCAUUCAAAAAAAAAAUAUAUAUAUACUUUUUUUUUUCUUUUCGUCGUAGAUCUUGACAGAAUCUGGCAUCAAUUUUACAGUGAUCUUGUGCUCUGUACAUUUGUUAUUCUUUGCCAUUUUCUCCAUAUUGUCAUUCUAAUCUACCCUCUUGUAUUUUUUGUGCGUUAGGCGCAGUUGUGUAGCAGUUGAGUUUUGCUGGUUAGCUGUGUAAAGUGGUGGAGUGCUGAAUGAUUGGCAGUCCCCAGUAAGCAGCAGAAUGUUCCAGAGACAACCGAGCUGUGCUGCGGUCAACUUUAAAAAUGGCUGCAACAACAAAUUCACCCUCUUAGGAUGCAUAUCAUCAUUUUUUUUUUUUUAUAGUUUGCAAUUAUUCGGAUCGGUAUGGUUUUUUUUUUUUUUUGGUCGAACGGAUCCAUUGCAUUUGUCUUUCCCCAUCUGCAUUCCUGUCCCGUUCCUGUUUAAAAUCCUGUAUGUAGACCGAUGUGGUUGCUAAUAAAAUGUUUUCUCUUAACCA